Molecule: long non-coding RNA, 2006 nt
Organism: Dreissena polymorpha
Lineage: Eukaryota; Metazoa; Mollusca; Bivalvia; Myida; Dreissenidae
Exons: 3
Source: RefSeq, a predicted model, not a curated record
UGGCAUCAAAUGCAUGUAGCGGGCGCCAGACAACUCGCCCCAAUACCAAAUUGCCCCAAAACAAACUCGCACCAAACAUAUGGUCACUCGCUCCAACCAAGAGACAACUCGCCCCAAUUUAUUUUCGUGCAUCUUAUUGUUUCUUUAUUUAAAGUAUUUUAUCUUUAUAUUCUUUGUUAAUUUAGCAAAGCACAUAUAUAUUUUGAUAAAUGUGUAUUUCAACAGUACAUUGUAUUUUGAAUAAAUCAAAUACAGGUCAUCUAAAAUGCAUGUAUCAUUAUAUUUGUAAAAGCCAAGAAUAUUCUGGAUAUUCCUCUUUUUUCAAUUGUUUUGAAUAUCCUCAAGAUUUUAUUUCCUGAAUGUUGAAGAAAACUUAUUAGAUAAUAAUUCCACAUAUUUACAACUCACCUUUUUAAUAGAGACCAUAAAUAGUUUUAAAAAGUCAGUGGUUAAAAUUGUGUAUUUACUUUUUCAAUAGGAUACAACCAUAAUUAAACCAAGAAGUUUAUGAAGAAGGGAUCACUGGAUUUUGUCACUUUGGUACAAGAAACAGAAAGGAUAUCAUAGACCACCUUACUUAUACAGAAGCAUAGGAGCUGUUGAAGGAAAUUGCUGCCAGACAGUCAGCAGUUAUCACUGACAGCCUGUCCUGGCCCAGCUUGGACCAUCCUAAAGCUAACCAUGAUGGUGUGUUUGCAAGAAUUGUCCAUUUGGUAGACCAUGAUGAAGACCAGCUUUAUUGUGGCAUGGCCUGACAAUACUGUACAAGCCAGAGACCAAAAAAGGGUUGAGUGGUGACUGAUCCUCUCACCCUCGUUAUCCAGGAAACGUUUCGGAACAACGUGUUGGCACUGAAGAUGUGGAGGACACAGAUUUAUCACAGUACAUCCUUUGGAUACAUGGACACCUUCAACGGGACGACAACAAAACUGUACCUGCCUUUUUUUGGACAGGAAGUAGUUAAUAAAAUUAUUGUUAACAGCUUUUUUAGUCUUGUUGUUUAAGGAUGCUUGCAACAUUUAAGUGGAUAAAUGGUUGUUUUAAAUUUGAAUCUUCAGUAAUGCAUUCUUUAUUAAAUGAUGUAAUCUUAUUUCUUUCAAUAUAGUGUAAAUAAUAAGAACAUAAUUAUCCUUUGUAUACAAAAUGAAAACGAAGUUUACUGUUCUAUUAAUCAUUAUUUAUUUAUCUUGUUCUUUUGUCAGAAAUAUUACAGGGGCAUACAUACAGUAUUCCUUAAAUAAAAGGGGCAUUUCUUAGAAAAUUAACAUGUAUUUAAGCAAUGCAUAUUCAAACUUUUUCCACAUUUAUAACCAGCAACAAUAUGUAAGUAUUAUAAUGUAACACAAAUUAAUACUUUGAAUUUACUACUGAUUUUGCUGUGCCUGUGAGUCGGUCAUCAAAUAAACAUGUUUUACUGAAAGUUUGUUAAAAGAUGUUAUGUGGAAGACUUAAUCAAUCAUUUAAUAAAUAUUUGAGUCUUGCUCAGGGAAAAGGGGGUUUAAUGCAUGUACUCAAUAUUGUCCAAGAUUAGGCUGUGCAGACUGCACAGGCUAAUCAGGGGUAACACUUUCCGCCUUAUCUGGAUUUUCUCUAAGAGACUCCCUUUCAACAAAAAAUACAAUAAAGCAGCAAUUGUCUGCCUGAUUGGUAUGAUCAGCACAGGUUAAUCUUGUACGACAAUUUACGCACAUGCAUUAAGCCCCAUUUUCCUAGGGCAAGGCUCACCUAUUUAGGUUUUAGUUGUCUAUAUGCUCUUUAACUUUUUAAUCAUGAUGCAGUUUCAUAUAAUAAUGUAUUAUGAGACGUUUUUAAUUGAUGCAUAUUCUUUUGUUCAGUGUUGAACUAAUCAUGUAUUAUAAUAAGGUGUUCACUUAACAUUCUUGCAGUAAUGUUUUGCUGUGUAAUAUACAUGUAAUAAUAAAUCAAAAUUGAACAACUAGCUUCUUAUUUCUUCAUGUUAUUUAUUAAAACAUUUUAAACCAGAACAACAAAAUCCAUAACAUAAU